Long non-coding RNA from Liolophura sinensis, 452 nucleotides. RefSeq lists it as uncharacterized. The transcript is spliced from 3 exons. The record is from RefSeq and is a predicted model, not a curated record. Lineage: Eukaryota; Metazoa; Mollusca; Polyplacophora; Chitonida; Chitonidae.
GCAAAAUCUGUGCGUUGAGGGACCAUCCAAAUCACGGCUGGGCUAUACAGGAACGAGUUUUGUACGUUCAAAGACUUUUCGAAGCUAGCACAGUGAACUGCACCAACUGAAUGACAUCAUCGAUUCUGAACAGGAAGUGAAGACGAGAUUGACAUCAUGCUUUCCUCGGGGAAAACCAGCUUCUGUUCAGAUCUGAAGGCGCGCGUUCUGUUGGAUUCUCUCGUUAGAGCGGUGUUCUACAUGGUUCCCGUUAUUCUCACCUAUAAUCUAGUAAUACUAGCACAGAUCUCAACAACAGGACCGACGAAGUUUACAAGGCCUGAUAACAACGCGGAGCCUGAGGCGUACAUUACGAAGACCAGCCGGGACAUGUUUUUAUUUCAAGAUGCCAACUUCACUAAGUCUUUGUGGUUUCACCCGCGGAACUGCACUAUGCACAACUACAUCCAAAG